CAAUAGCGUAUAUUAAAGUUGUUGCAGUUAAAAAGCUCGUAGUUGGAUUUCUGGGAGGGUGCCGCCGUCCGGCGUGUCCGUGUGCAGUGGCGCCCUUCCAUCCUUCUGUUAGCGUCUCUUGGCAUUCAUUUGCUGGUGGCGGGCUCAGAUAUUUUACCUUGAGAAAAUUAGAGUGUUUCAGGCAGGCUAGGCCGGAAUACAUUAGCAUGGAAUAAUGGAAUAGGACUACGGUCUCUUUGUUGGUUUGAGGGACUGCAGUAAUGAUUAAUAGGGAUAGUUGGGGGCAUUAGUAUUUAAUUGUCAGAGGUGGAAUUCUCAGAUUUGUUAAAGACUAACUUAUGCGAAAGCAUUUGCCAAGGAUGUUUNCAUUAA
This 372-nucleotide ribosomal RNA is filed under the name uncultured eukaryote. Its description in RNAcentral is "partial 18S ribosomal RNA". It matches the Rfam family "Eukaryotic small subunit ribosomal RNA", at positions 592 to 976 of the family's 1831-position model. The record is from RNAcentral.